UCAGAUGCAUAGGUGAUGCUUGGCCU
Molecule: non-coding RNA, 26 nt
Filed under: Homo sapiens (human)
Lineage: Eukaryota; Metazoa; Chordata; Mammalia; Primates; Hominidae
Source: RNAcentral